This 1674-nucleotide ribosomal RNA is filed under the name Paracanthocobitis zonalternans (dwarf zipper loach). RNAcentral describes it as "16S rRNA". It matches the Rfam family "Bacterial large subunit ribosomal RNA". Lineage: Eukaryota; Metazoa; Chordata; Actinopteri; Cypriniformes; Nemacheilidae. The record is from RNAcentral.
GCCAAACAGCUAGCUUAACCACCAAAACUAACCAAACAACAUAAAUAACAUAAAAACAAUACAAAUAACCAAUUAAACCAUUUUUCCACCUUAGUACGGGAGACGGAAAGGGCUACCAUAAAGCAAUAGAAAAAGUACCGCAAGGGAAAGCUGAAAAAGUAAUGAAAUAAUUCAUAUAAGCAUAAAAAAGCAAAGCUUAAGCCUUGUACCUUUUGCAUCAUGAUUUAGCCAGUAAUACUUAAGCAAAGAGACCUUUAGUUUAAACCCCCGAAACCAAGUGAGCUACCCCGGGACAGCCUUCAAGGGCCAACCCGUCUCUGUGGCAAAAGAGUGGGAAGAGCCCCGGGUAGAGGUGACAGACCUACCGAACUUGGUGAUAGCUGGUUGCCUAAAAAAUGAAUAGAAGUUCAGCCUCGUGCCCCUCCGCCCAAACAAGAAACAUCUUUAUCAAGCACAACGAGAAAAACACGAGAGUUAGUUAAAAGGGGUACAGCCCUUUUAACCAAGGACACAACCUUAUACAGAAGGAUAAGGAUCACACUAUCCAAAAUUAGUCGUUACAGUGGGCCUAAAAGCAGCCAUCUGCCUAGAAAGCGUUAAAGCUCAGACGACAAAACCUUUAUUAUACUGAUAAAUAAUCCUACUCCUCUAAAAGUAUUAGGCUAUUCCAUGCCAACAUGGAAGAAACUAUGCUAAAAUGAGUAACAAGAGAAUAAUCUCUCCAAGCACAAGUGUACCCCAGAUCGGACCAUCCACUGGAAAUUAACGAGCCCAAAAGAAGAGUGUAAUGUGGAAUACGAAAAAAUCAAGAAAGCCCCACAACUUAAUAGUCGUUAACCUCACACUAGAGUGCCCCAAGGAAAGACAAAAAGAUAGGGAAGGAACUCGGCAAACACAAGCCUCGCCUGUUUACCAAAAACAUCGCCUCUUGCAAACCCCUAUGUAUAGGAGGUCCAGCCUGCCCAGUGACCACAAGUUUAACGGCCGCGGUAUUUUGACCGUGCAAAGGUAGCGCAAUCACUUGUCUUUUAAAUGAAGACCUGUAUGAAUGGCCAAACGAGGGCUUAGCUGUCUCCCCUGUCAUGUCAGUGAAAUUGAUCUAUCCGUGCAGAAGCGGGUAUAAUAAUACAAGACGAGAAGACCCUUUGGAGCUUAAGGUACAAAUAUCACCUACGUCAAACAACUUCCUCAACAAGUCUAAACCUAGUAGAAUAUGAAAUCUUACCUUCGGUUGGGGCGAUCAUGGAGAAAAAGAAAUCCUCCAAGUGGAAUGGAAAUAAACCUAAAACCAAGAAAGACACUUCCAAGUCACAGAAAAUCUGACCAAUUAUGAUCCGGCCCAGGCCGAUCAACGAACCAAGUUACCCCAGGGAUAACAGCGCAAUCCCCUCCAAGAGUCCAUAUCGACGAGAGGGUUUACGACCUCGAUGUUGGAUCAGGACAUCCUAAUGGUGCAGCCGCUAUUAAGGGUUCGUUUGUUCAACGAUUAAAGUCCUACGUGAUCUGAGUUCAGACCGGAGCAAUCCAGGUCAGUUUCUAUCUGUAACGCUAUUUUUCCCAGUACGAAAGGACCGGAAAAAAGAGGCCCAUGCUACAAGCACGCCUCACCCCCAAUUAAUGAAAGCAACUAAAUUAAACAAGGGGAGGGCCCAAAACAUGCCAAAAUAAGGCCAC